UCUCUGUCUCUCUCAGUCUCUCUCUCCGUUUGCAGAUCUAAGACAGCAGAGCGAUGAGAGAUUGCAGCUGAGAUUUCAUCAUCGGACGGCGUUCUUGCUAUCCAAACCUCAUUUCCAUCUAAGGUUUUUGACCAAAGGUGGUAUGAUGAUUUUAGCGACAUGGUUGAACAAAGCAGCUCUUGAAGAACAAACAACUGUUAUUCUUAUCAUUUUUAAGGGAGAUUUGGCAAAUUACCUUCAAAAGAAAGGACGGCUACAGCCUUCUAAAGCUCUGAGAUUCUCUCUUGAUAUUGCUAGGUCAAGUAUGGUUACCUGAUUUGGCAAUUCUGCUUCUAUCCUUGUGCUUCCCUAUUGGAAUGUAACUCUUUAGAGAUGGAAACCUCUCAUUACAAAUAUCAUGUGGAUGAACUUACCUUGUUCAGGCAAGUAUCUAUUUUCUCUUAUGCAAUGUGUUUCUAAAAUUUAUCAUCAUCACUAGAAAAAGGUAAUUUUUGCCAUUGUCUAAUCUUUUAUUUUCCCUUGAACAGCUUUUACCCUGCUUUCAGAGCUUGGUAGUUUCAAGUUAAAAUCCAUUCAUUACACUAGUAAUCGUAAUUAAAUUUGAUCGAAACAUGCCCUUAAAUUGUCUUUUAAGAUGUCAUGUUGCAAUAACAAUGUACUCAAAAUAAUGGAUUUCAUGACGAGCGGUCCAGAUGAUGGUUCUAAUGCAUAUGUGAUCAUAACAAAAACAAGUACGACAACUCAUUAGGUGGGCCACUCAUUUAUGAAAAAAAUAAAAACUGAUUUAGAAUUAAAUAGAAAUUGGUCACAUACCCAGCUUGUCUGCAGUUUCUUCUGGUCAAUCACUAUCUUUGGAGUGUUCAGAUUCUUAGAAGGAUGUCAAAUAAUGCUAAGUCCAUGGAAAUUUUACAAAGUAAUUUUUAGAGCUUUACGAUAUCUGUAUCUUUUGCCUAGCUGAAUGCUAACCACCCUUGUUUGUUUUAGUCUCAUUGAUUUCUUUUCCAUUUACUUUUCUUUUCUCAUUAACCCUUGUGCAGAUAAGUUGAAUGUGUAACUAUCUUCGCCUUGUUAUGUUUCAAGGUGAUUUUCACUGCCAACUUUGUUUGUUGACUUGGUUUGGCAUGAUUUGUGAAAUUAGAU
This is a long non-coding RNA of Magnolia sinica, 1140 nucleotides long. RefSeq lists it as uncharacterized. Lineage: Eukaryota; Viridiplantae; Streptophyta; Magnoliopsida; Magnoliales; Magnoliaceae. The transcript is spliced from 5 exons. The record is from RefSeq and is a predicted model, not a curated record.